Non-coding RNA from Phrynosoma platyrhinos (Desert horned lizard), 71 nucleotides. The record is from the annotation of a GenBank genome assembly. Lineage: Eukaryota; Metazoa; Chordata; Lepidosauria; Squamata; Phrynosomatidae.
GCCAGCCUGGCUUAGUGGUUUGAGUGUUGGACUGCAACUCUGGAGACCAGGGUUUGAAUCCCAGCUCAGCA